RNAcentral lists this ribosomal RNA (439 nucleotides) under uncultured bacterium. Its description in RNAcentral is "bacterial SSU rRNA". It matches the Rfam family "Bacterial small subunit ribosomal RNA", at positions 954 to 1392 of the family's 1533-position model. The record is from RNAcentral.
GCUAAACGCGAAGAACCUUACCAAGGCUUGACAUACACCAGAACACCCUAGAAAUAGGGGACUCUUUGGACACUGGUGAACAGGUGGUGCAUGGUUGUCGUCAGCUCGUGUCGUGGGAUGUUGGGUUAAGUCCCGCAACGAGCGCAACCCUCGUUCUAUGUUGCCAGCACGUAAUGGUGGGAACUCAUGGGAUACUGCCGGGGUCAACUCGGAGGAAGGUGGGGAUGACGUCAAAUCAUCAUGCCCCUUAUGUCUUGGGCUUCACGCAUGCUACAAUGGCCGGUACAAAGGGCUGCAAUACCGUGAGGUGGAGCGAAUCCCAAAAAGCCGGUCCCAGUUCGGAUUGAGGUCUGCAACUCGACCUCAUGAAGUCGGAGUCGCUAGUAAUCGCAGAUCAGCAACGCUGCGGUGAAUACGUUCCCGGGUCUUGUACACACCG